Molecule: ribosomal RNA, 482 nt
Filed under: uncultured bacterium
Lineage: Bacteria
Description: partial 16S ribosomal RNA
Rfam family: Bacterial small subunit ribosomal RNA
Source: RNAcentral
AUUGAACGCUGGCGGCAUGCUUUACACAUGCAAGUCGAACGGUAACAGCACUUCGGUGGCUGACGAGUGGCGAACGGGUGAGUAAUACAUCGGAACGUGCCUAGUAGUGGGGGAUAACUACUCGAAAGAGUAGCUAAUACCGCAUGAGAUCUAAGGAUGAAAGCAGGGGACCUUCGGGCCUUGCGCUACUAGAGCGGCUGAUGGCAGAUUAGGUAGUUGGUGGGAUAAAAGCUUACCAAGCCGACGAUCUGUAGCUGGUCUGAGAGGACGACCGGCCACACUGGGACUGAGACACGGCCCAGACUCCUACGGGAGGCAGCAGUGGGGAAUUUUGGACAAUGGGCGCAAGCCUGAUCCAGCAAUGCCGCGUGCAGGAUGAAGGCCUUCGGGUUGUAAACUGCUUUUGUACGGAACGAAAAGCCCUCUUCUAAUACAGGAGGGUCAUGACGGUACCGUAAGAAUAAGCACCGGCUAACUACGUG